This is a long non-coding RNA of Solanum stenotomum, 426 nucleotides long. RefSeq lists it as uncharacterized. The record is from RefSeq and is a predicted model, not a curated record. The transcript has 3 exons. NCBI's taxonomy places the organism in Eukaryota, Viridiplantae, Streptophyta, Magnoliopsida, Solanales, Solanaceae.
GGAUAAUAUUCCAUCGCAAUCUUUGGCUCAGCAAGACGUGCCCAUACAACAAAAGAACUUGAAUGAGGCAGCUGAAAAUAUAGCUACAACAACAUUAUGCAAGAAGACGAAGACUUACUCGAGGAAAUUUUCACCAGGCACAACUUCUGCCAUACCUUCUACAUCAGCCUUCCCUACAAGUUGUACUCCUGCUAAUGAAGACAGGACUGAGGCAGACAUCCAAGUUUCCGCUGUUACACCAAUCUCCCCUUCUGACAAAGAUGUCGAGGAAGGCACAGUUUCCCCAUCCUUAGCUAAUACCAGAAGCAAGACAUCUGAUAUUAGUCAACCACCCGACUGUCCAUUGAAAUUUGAUAAUCUAGAAGACUUCUUUGCUCGAGUUAGUGGAAAAAUUAAAUGUGCUGAAUCUCUCGGUUUUUCUGCUGA